CUGGAAUCUUCAGUGCUACACUAUCCUCUGCUUUGUCUCUGCUCUCAAAGUCUUCCAGUAUAGUCCCUGGCUAUCCCUGUUGGGUUUCCCGCCUUGCCUGCUCAUCAUGUUUCUCCUCACCUGGUGGCCAGCACUGAUAGCUGUAGUACCCAUUUUUCUUCUGCUACUUUACAGCUUCCACAGGAAGCCUGGCCUCUCAGUGUUUGGUAAUGACUGGACCAACCAGUUAACGACUAGCUCUGAUGAACUUUGUGGACGCCUUUACCAAGAUCAGUCUUAUGAUGUAUGGGAAUGUAGCCUCGGUAAAUGGAGACAUGGGAUGUAGGAAAAGAAAUAGAAGUACUGAAUAAAAGGAGACCCGAGACAUUCAGGAUUCAGAGGACCAUGUGAAAGGGUUGAAUGCACGGAAGAUCCAUUCCUUUUACACAGCCAUCUCUGCACUGGAGCUUCGAGCUGGGGCACAGAGUCUCAUGCAGGUGAGUGCUAAGGACUA
This 493-nucleotide long non-coding RNA is filed under the name Vombatus ursinus (common wombat). RNAcentral describes it as "lncRNA (ENSVURG00010019900.1)". The record is from RNAcentral. Lineage: Eukaryota; Metazoa; Chordata; Mammalia; Diprotodontia; Vombatidae.